UCGGGAAUUUUGGGCAAUGGGCGAAAGCCUGACCCAGCAACGCCGCGUGAGGGAUGAAGUAUUUCGGUAUGUAAACCUCGAAAGAAUGGGAAGAAUAAAUGACGGUACCAUUUAUAAGCUCCGGCUAACUACGUGCCAGCAGCCGCGGUAAUACGUAGGGAGCAAGCGUUGUUCGGAUUUACUGGGCGUAAAGGGCGCGUAGGCGGCGCGGUAAGUCACUUGUGAAAUCUCUGAGCUUAACUCAGAACGGCCAAGUGAUACUGCUGUGCUAGAGUGCGGAAGAGGCAACCGGAAUUCUUGGUGUAGCGGUGAAAUGCGUAGAUAUCAAGAGGAACACCUGAGGCGAAGGCGGGUUGCUGGGCCGACACUGACGCUGAUGCGCGGAAGCCAGGGGAGUAAACG
RNAcentral lists this ribosomal RNA (402 nucleotides) under uncultured bacterium. RNAcentral's name for it is "bacterial SSU rRNA". It matches the Rfam family "Bacterial small subunit ribosomal RNA", at positions 355 to 774 of the family's 1533-position model. The record is from RNAcentral.